CGACUUCUCUCCACAUUACAAAUUCGCGACCCUUCCACCCCCCUCCGUUUUGUAAUCUUGAGGUGAACUUAAACACAAAUUGAAAAAAGUUUUGAUAAGAAAACCCACGCCAUACAAUUUCAUUUCAAAAUUUUAACAGAAACAAAGAACCCUAAUAGCAAUUUUUCACCUUAGACGAUUCUUCACUCAUUUCUUGCCCGUUUCCACAAAAUAUAUCCAGCCGCUCAGAUCCGGGAAGAAUCGAUUAUCAGCAGAUUGAUUAUCACUUGUUCUACCAGAAGAUAAAUCCCCCAAUAAUUGCUUAUAUUGCUUUGUGAGACUAGAUCAAUUGAAGGAAAUAAAAACCCUCUGCCAUAAAAACGUAAAAACCAACCCAUCAGUUUGAGAAAUCCGCGAUUCAAGGCACAUAGGUAUUGUCGUCUUUCUCUGAUUUGAUAAAUCAUAUCAAUCACAUUUUUUUUUUUUUUUUGUUGAGUAAUUUAGUGCUUAAUACAUACUCUUCAACUUGUGAACAAGGUACAUAGGUAUCAUUUGUUUGGGAUAAAUCAAUUAGUUUGCACUGAGGAAACCGCGAGAAGUCAUAGUGGAUGUAUAUAUUAAUUUCUCAUAUCUGAUUUAUAGUGUCAUUCUUGUUUUUUUUAUUGUUGAAACUCUUUACAAAUCUCUGGUAUUUUAUUAAACAUUAAAAUUUAUGAUUUUGCAAUAUGAAGGUAUCUCCAUAUUUCUGGUAUUUUAUUAAACAUUAAAAUUUAUGAUUUUGCAAGGUAUCUCCAUAUUUUUGGAAGUUGUUUUUGCAAUAAAAAGUUGAGUCUUCAACAAUUUUGUGGUUUUUGGUUCAAUAAUUUGGCUAGAGGAAUUCAGUUUUGUGUGGAAAUAAGGAUAGUAAGAUCCACAAACACUGUAAAAUCUUUAUUAGCAUUUGUGAGAAUUCAGUUUUGUAUGCAAAAUGUAUUAGCGUUUGUGAGAUUUAUGAUGCAAAUUUGUGUUGCUUAUGAAAUUGUGUUGCCAUACAACAUUAUAAUACACGAAAAUGAUUAAAUAUUAAUAUAUUAUUGGUUGAAUAUGCUUUUCUUGUGGUGAUAUGAGUUGUAAUGUGUAUGCAGAAAUUAUUCCUACAUUUUCCUGCUACUACAAUUAGGAAUGUAAAUUAAUCUUCUUGGUUUAAUGGUGAUUUGAGCCGUGUAUUUAUGGUAAAUCACUACAAGAAAAAUAUUGAUAGACUACAUGUAAAAGACAAUUGUUUUUAUGAAAAACCAUGGUCGUUGACUCUAAAACUGUUGUCGUAGAUAAAACCGUGGUCUAUUAGCAUAUUUUUAUGCUAAAGGACCACAAAUUUUUAGUACCAUAGUGUUUUGAGCGAGGUCAUAACUAGUUUACAACAACGCUUUUGAAAAACACAUGUUAAUCACUUAAAAAAUUGUAGUCCUUUUAUUAAUUUAAUUAAUACUAAUAAAAAAACAUAAAAAUUAUGAAUAAAUGAAAUCCCUUAACCUAAACCCCCACAAAUUCGCGAUCAUCUCCUUCUCUCUUCACCAAUAUUGUUGCACCGCUUGCAAUCUGCCGCCGUGUCCCUACCACUAGGGCUGUAUACGAACCGAGCCGAGCCGAAUACUUCCAGGCUCGGGCUCAGUUCGUGAAGAUUUGGUUCGGCUCGAGUUCGGCUCGAGCUCGAAUUCGAGCCUAAAAAUGAGCUCGAGCUCGGCUCGCUUAUAUAAUACUAAACUUGAGUUUGGUUCGAAUUCGGCUUGUUAAUUAUUCGUUUAUCUCGAGCUCGAGCUCGACUCGUUAAUUAUUCGUUUAUCUCAAGCUCGGCUCGAAUUUCAAGCUCGAAUUCGAGCUCGGUUCGAAUUAUUUAUAUAUUAAGGUUUCAUUAAAAUAAUAUGAAUCAUAAUUUAUAAUUUAUUUUUAACAAAUAGAUAAUUUAUCAAGUUAGUAGUAAUUUUUUUAAUUAUGCGUAUUAUUUUUAUUAUUUAAAAAAUAUUUAACAAAUAAAAUAUGUAUAAAAUUAUUAUUUAAUGAACCUAUUCGCGAGCCUAUUCACGAACAUAUUCGUGAGCCUAUUUGCAAAUAUAUUCGCGAGCCUAUUCGCGAAUAGGUUCGAGCCGAACAUGUUUGCGAGCUCAUGAGCCGAACAUGCACAGGUUCGAGUUCGGCUCGAUAAUUUUAUCGAGCUUGGAUUUGGGCUCGAGUUCGGCUCAUUUAGAAAACGAACAAAUUUUGAACGAGUUUUUUUCGAGCCGAACCCCGAAUAGUUCGCGAGCGGCUUGGUCGUUUACACCCUUACCUACCGCCUUCCACUUGCCACCUGCCGAGCAUCGCCGACCCUCUGUCCAUUAACCCUAGCAGCCGCCAUGAGCUCUCCAACACAAACCCUAGGUGCCGCGUCUCGUCGUCUGCUACUCGCUGCCACGCCGCCAGCGCCAUUAGCUGCAGCCCGCGCACCACCGGCGUCAGUGCCAUCACCGCAGCCUGCACUCGAUCUGGUCCACCCGCCAACUGCAGCACCUUCGACGGUCUCCACCAUGCUGUCGUCACUUUGUCUGCUCUCCAAUACCCAUAUCGGCGCCCCCGCGACUCGCACCGCUUGCGGCUGUGUUGGUAUGAAAUAUUUUGUGGUUGUAUAUCAUCAUUUGAUUCUAGUCCACAUUACACUUAGUAGAAUAUAUACAAUAAUUUUUAGAUGGGAAAGUGGAUAUUGAGGUACAAAUUGAUAUUUUCACAAGUCUCUAAAUUUAUUUUGGUCUAUGAAAUUCUCAUAUGAAACUAGUUUCUCCAUCACAGGCCAAAUCAUAAAUUAGUUAGGUCUAAGCAUCUAAGGGAAAAAGAAUUAGAACGACUUUUCUUGAGGCUUAUUUAACUGAAGCAUCACACAUCUGUGAAGAGAAAUGAUAAGCUUCUUUUUUUUUUUAUUGUUAAUGGCUUUAAUAAGUGAUUAUAGAUUGCACUUCCCUCUAAUAUAAGUUUCAGAAAUGGAAAACGCACACCUAAAACUAGCUAGAGCUGUCCUUAUAUGCUCUGUACCUCCUUCAGGAGAUAUGUUAUAUUCUUAACAAAAUUGUCUUAAUUUAUACGUAAAUCUUUAUUCUCAUGACUGAUGUAUUUUUUUCCAAUUUUCCCAAUGGCCUAGUGUGGCGGUAUCUAUUCUCCAAACCUAUUGUUGCAUUUAAGGUACUACAUCUUGUAAAGAAUGAAUAACUUCUUUAGAGCAAGAUUGUUUCCUAACUGUGAAAACUUAAACCAAUUACCCGGGGUACAUCUAAUUUGUGACAAUAUGAAACAGAUUAACAUGCAGUUUGGCAGCAAAAGCUUUACUGUCAUGACCUCCUGAAGGAACCAUAGUUUGACGUAUGAUCCAUUUGCUCGUGACCCAUUCCGGAUGCCAAACGAGUACAUACAAAAAUCACAAAUGCCUAUUGCAAGAGUUCAAAACUUACUUGCAAAUCCGACGAUCAAAGACUCCAGUGUUGAUCUUCCAACUUGUUCCCACGGUAGAGCAUGAUGUUGGGUGGCAACGUGCUUCAAGUCCUCUCCUUCAAAGUUGGCGUCUCCUCACUCUCACGAUCUGCUCUCACGUGUAUGAUUAAUUAAUUAGGUUUAGGGUUAUCUCUUAUUAUUUAUACUAGGUAUUAGACAUACCUAAAUGAUAAACACUCAUUUUGCAUGGUUUAUAUUAUGCGGUUUAAGUCGAUUUUACGCCUGUUUUAUUAUUGUUUGGAGUUCAUUGUAUAUUAUUUCAUGAUUUCACGGUCGGGUGUAGUUUUGGCAGUUUUGAUGCAUGGAUGAGUGGUAUUGGAACAUGGAGUGUAAGGAACGUGCUUAAGAGAAGAGUUUUGAGAGAAUCGAG
Molecule: long non-coding RNA, 3844 nt
Filed under: Salvia miltiorrhiza (redroot sage)
Lineage: Eukaryota; Viridiplantae; Streptophyta; Magnoliopsida; Lamiales; Lamiaceae
Description: long non-coding RNA (SMIL_LNC007406)
Source: RNAcentral